This 320-nucleotide long non-coding RNA is filed under the name Homo sapiens (human). RNAcentral's name for it is "non-protein coding lnc-CGRRF1-2:1". Lineage: Eukaryota; Metazoa; Chordata; Mammalia; Primates; Hominidae. The record is from RNAcentral.
AUUGUGGUUAGAAAAAACACACAUAACAGAAGUUACCAUCUUACUCACUUUUAAGCAUACAGUUCAGUAGUGUAUUCACAUUCUCGUGCAAUAGAUCUUCAGAACUUUUUCAUCUUGCCAAACUAAAAUCCUGUAUCGAUUAACGCCCCAUUUCUCCCUCCCCCAGCCCCUGACAACCACCAUUUUAUGGUAUAACUGUGAUUUUGACUUGCGUUUCCCUGAUGGUUAAUUAUACUGAACAUCUUUUCAUGUUUUUAUUAACCGUUUGUAUAUCUAGUUAGUUCUUUAACCUUUUGUUUUUCAGACAGAGUCUGGCUCUG